RNAcentral lists this long non-coding RNA (1252 nucleotides) under Mustela putorius furo (domestic ferret). Its description in RNAcentral is "lncRNA (ENSMPUG00000028048.1)". Lineage: Eukaryota; Metazoa; Chordata; Mammalia; Carnivora; Mustelidae. The record is from RNAcentral.
UGAGUCAUGAGGACACUAAUCCAGAAUCAAGGGGGAAAGGAAGAAUAUAUUCUUUCUAUUAUUAGGGGAAUGGCAUGAUGUGUGUAUAGGAAAGAAAUUGGUGAACAUCAUGACAACCUACCACAAGCUUGGAAAAGAGUACACAGGAAAGUGUCUUCAUGGCCUUGGUAAACAAGGACAUCAACGGGGCACAAAAAAUACUAAUAAUGUAUGAAAAGAAAAUAAGUUAGAAUUCAUCGAAACUUCUGAUUAUCAAAAGACACUGUUGAGAACAUCAAAGAGCAGCCUACUGAUUAUUGGAGAAAGUAUUUACCCUCCAUAUACUUGACAGAAAGACUCCUAUCCUUAACCUACAAAGAACUCCAGUAUCAAUCUUAAAAGGAAAAACAUCAAAAUUUUAAAAAUGGACAAUCAACUUGAACAAGAACUUCACAAAAAGAGAUCCAAAUGGCUGACAAACAUAUGAAAACAUUCUCAACUCAGUACUCGUCCAAAACAGUGCAACAAUACAUUCUUAUGGUGAAUAAUGGCUAAAAACCUGAGGAAGACAACACCAAGUGUUGGUGAGGAUGUGGAACAACUCAAACUCUCCUACACUGCUGGUGGGAGUGUUGCUUCCGAAAGCUUUUUGGCAGCUUUAGCUUCAGAUUAAUAGACACCAUAUCAAUUAUGUAUUGCCACAUUUACUAACCAUCUCAAAGCUUAGUGGCAUAAAGCAGUAAUUCUUUAAUUUGUUAAUGAUUCUCUGGAUCAACAACUUGAGCUGAGUUCAGCCAGAUGAUUCUUCCACUGGUCUUGUUCAGGGAUGACAAGACUGGGGAAUGGCACUACAGUAUUAUGGCUUGCCUGGGACUGGAUAGUCUAAAAUGACUUCACUCAUAUGUUCAGUGAUGGCUGUUGAUCACAUGUCUUCAACAAACUAAUCCAGGCUUCUUCACGUGACGUCAAUGUUCCAAGCAGACACUCCCUUUUCAAAUUUCUGCUUAUGUCAUGUUUGCAAUGUCCCAUUGGCCAAAGUUGCUCACAGAGAAGCAGCCGCAGGACUGUGCUCAGGUGUAACUGACAGAACUGUAUCCCCACCAUACUCCUGAUAAGUACUGACCGUAUUACUCCUUCCGGUUUAACAGCUGAAAGCAAGUGCUAUAAAUUAAUAACUUCUUAUGAGAUUGAGCAUAUUAUUUGGUGUUAAGUAGAAAAAGCCCCAGUAAUUUUAUUCUUGCUACUAUCCACAACUUUUCGCCUUGCAUAGUCU